GCCCUCCACCGACCCUCCACCGGCAUCCAUCCCUCUCCCUCCCUCUCUCUUUUUCUCUUUCAGCGUGUUGUCUCCUUCAUCGAUACAGACCUAGCACGGCCCGUACCGACUCUUGCCACCGGAAAACCGAUACGAUGCCCGAUACUGGUUCCUCCGACCUUGAUGUCAAAGCAUAUGCCAUAAAUACACUUGACAAGAUCAGUAGCCUUUCCCAUCCAGAGUAAUGUCCAUAUCCAUCACAAGGCAAUGACAUAAGGUAUUA
Molecule: long non-coding RNA, 262 nt
Filed under: Phoenix dactylifera (date palm)
Lineage: Eukaryota; Viridiplantae; Streptophyta; Magnoliopsida; Arecales; Arecaceae
Description: long non-coding RNA (PDAC_LNC014993)
Source: RNAcentral